UCUGACCUCAAAUCAGGUAGGACUACCCGCUGAACUUAAGCAUAUCAAUAAGCGGAGGAAAAGAAACUAACAAGGAUUCCCCUAGUAACUGCGAGUGAAGCGGGAAAAGCUCAAAUUUGAAAUCUGGCGCUUCCGGCGUCCGAGUUGUAUUCUGGAGAAGCGUUUUCCGUGCUGGACCGUGUACAAGUCCCUUGGAACAGGGCGUCAUAGAGGGUGAGAAUCCCGUCUUUGACACGGACUGCCAGUGCUCUGCGAUGCGCUCUCGAAGAGUCGAGUUGUUUGGGAAUGCAGCUCAAAACGGGUGGUAAAUUCCAUCUAAAGCUAAAUAUUGGCGAGAGACCGAUAGCGAACAAGUACCGUGAGGGAAAGAUGAAAAGCACUUUGGAAAGAGAGUGAAACAGUACGUGAAAUUGUUGAAAGGGAAACGCUUGUAGUCAGUCGCGUCUUCUGGAACUCAGCCUUGCUUCUGCUCGGUGCACUUUCCAGUUUGACGGGUCAGCAUCGGUUUCGGUGGGGCAGACAAAGGCGGAGGGAAGGUGGCCGCUCCGGCGGUGUUUAUAGCCCUCCGUUGUACGUGUCCCCUGGGACCGAGGAAUCCGGCGUAAGCCUGGGAUGCUGGCGUAAUGGCUUUAAGCGACCCGUCUU
Molecule: ribosomal RNA, 645 nt
Filed under: uncultured fungus
Lineage: Eukaryota; Fungi
Description: eukaryotic LSU rRNA
Rfam family: Eukaryotic large subunit ribosomal RNA
Source: RNAcentral